UGUCAAUCCAACCUAGCCGCAAUGAAGAAGAAACAGAAGUCCACCACCAUCUCCGCCGAAGAUACGGCGGACGCUACCGCCGUAACCGCCAGCACCACAAUAGAUUUGAAAGCCCUAAUCCGGGAUAACAGGCUCUUCUUCGACAAGUUGAUUGACUUAAUUCCUCCUAGAUUCUACCUCCCUAAAGAUGAACCCGAUACCUGGUAUCGAGGCCUUCCCAAAGCCGCCAAAGCUUCAUUGAAGAAACAAUCCAGGGAGAAUCUCAAACUCGCCCGCCGCAACCGGCUUGACCCCGAGAAGAAAGAACAGUCCUCUACUGUCGGCCUCCUCGAACAAUCCCUUCAGAAAAAGCAAAAAACUGACGAGGAGGAUGAUUCCGGCGAGGAGGAUCAUGGUGAACCUACGCCUAUUAAUUUGGAGGAAAACGAUAACCCUAACAACGAUAACUCCUCUGGUACUUACGAAGAGUUGAGGCGUAGGCUACACAGAAAAAUCGAAAUGCUCCGCGGUAACCGGGGUGAUGGCGAGAGUUCGGAGAGAAACAAAUUUAAUCAGCGCAAGAGGAGUGAAAAGGAUGCAUCUUUAGAGAAAUCCGAUGGUAAGAAGAGAAAGAGGGGUGAAGACGACAAUGGAGAAGAUACUUCAAUGGAAAAGGACAUAGAGUUUGGGAAAGUUAAAUUAGGAGACGACUAUGACAAGAAAAAGAAGAAGAAGAAAGUAUCCAAACCUAAAGAGUUGGAAAGACUGAAGAGGCUGGAAGAGGUGAAGAGGGAGAAUAAGACGCUGGCGGAUAAGGAAGCAUGGAAGGCAGCAGCAAACAAGGCAAUGGGAUUGAAGGUGUUUGAUAACCCUAAGUUGUUGAAGGAGAGUUUGAAGAAGGAUAAGAGAAAGAAAGAGAAGAGUUCUGAGAAGUGGAAGGAAAGAAUUCAGACUACGGAGAAGAUGAAGAAUGAGCGACAGCAGAAGAGAAGGGAUAACAUUGCUGGCAAAGCCAAGGAGAAGAAGAUGAGGAAGAUUGCCAAAAGGGAAAAGAAGCUCAUGAGGCCGGGCUUUGAGGGGCGAAAGGAAGGCUACAUUACUCAGGAUAAAAGCUAAACUGGUCAUGAACUCUUUCUUAUGCCUUCUUACUUUGAAUUUAGCUGCUCUCUCAUUUGGAGAGAGUUUUGUGUUUGGUCUGAAAUCUUUUGCUAAUUCUGUGCUAGUCAAGUUUAAGCUUUUUCUAUUCAGUAAGUAGUAUGUUGGCUAAUUAGCCUAUCCCAACUGGUUUAGGAUUGAGCAUUGUUGAUUCAUAGUAACAUGUUAGUUCAUGAUUUGUUUUCAUGAAGUUAGCAUUAUAAUAUAUGCUUGUCAGCCAAAUAUCAUUAGUUUGAUUGGAACAUAUUGUAUGCAAACAUUUCUCAAACAGCUGUGGA
RNAcentral lists this unclassified non-coding RNA (1412 nucleotides) under Hevea brasiliensis (rubber tree). The record is from RNAcentral. Lineage: Eukaryota; Viridiplantae; Streptophyta; Magnoliopsida; Malpighiales; Euphorbiaceae.